UACGGAAGGGUCUAGCGUUGUUCGGAAUUACUGGGCGUAAAGAGCGCGUAGGCGGCUUACCAAGUUGGGGGUGAAAUCCCGGAGGUCAACUCCGGAACUGCCUUCAAAACUGGUAGGCUCGAGUCCGGAAGAGGGGCGUGGAAUUCCCAGUGUAGAGGUGAAAUUCGUAGAUAUUGGGAAGAACACCGGUGGCGCAGGCGGCGCCCUGGUCCGGUACUGACGCUGAGGGGCGAAAGCGUGGGGAGCAAACAGG
This 253-nucleotide ribosomal RNA is filed under the name uncultured bacterium. RNAcentral describes it as "partial 16S ribosomal RNA". It matches the Rfam family "Bacterial small subunit ribosomal RNA", at positions 524 to 776 of the family's 1533-position model. The record is from RNAcentral.